This 1139-nucleotide long non-coding RNA is filed under the name Anser cygnoides (Swan goose). RNAcentral describes it as "lncRNA (ENSACDG00005007714.1)". The record is from RNAcentral. Lineage: Eukaryota; Metazoa; Chordata; Aves; Anseriformes; Anatidae.
AAGGAAUACAGAUAGGCUAUUCAGAUUUGUAGGGAGAACAUUCAUGUGGUCAAAGCCCAGUUAGAGUUGAAGCUGGCCAGGUCUGUGGGAGACAAUAAAAAGGGCUUUUUAAAAUAUGUGAAUAGAAAAAGGAGGACCAGAGUAAACAUAAGUCCACUACUUGAUGGGGAUGGUCAACUCACAAGCAGGGAUGUAGGCAAAGCAGAGACAUUUAAUGCCUUCUUUGCCUCUGUCUUCAACACUCAUGAUGGGCUUCGGGACCCUGGGUACCCUGAGCUGGAGGACCAUGAUUGUGGGAAUGAUAAACUCCCAGCCAACCCUGAACAUGUGCAGGAUUUGCUGCUCCACCAGGAACCAUACAAGUCCAUAGGUCCAGAUGGGGUUCAUCCCAAGGUGCUCAGAGAGCUGGCUGAUGUCAUCGCAGGACUUCUCUCAAUUGUUUUUCAAUGUUCUUGGGAAUCUGGAGAGGUCUCAGUUGACUGGAAGCUGGCAAAUGUUGUCCCAAUUUUCAAGAAGGGCAAGAAAGAAAACUCUGAUAACUACAGGCCUGUCAAUCUCAUGUCAGUGCCUGAUAAGAUUAUGGAGAAGAUCAUCCUGGGAAUUACUGAAGCGCACCUGGGGGACAAUAUGGUCAUUGGUCCCAGACAGCAUGGGUUCAUGAGGGGUAGGUCCUGUUUGACAAAUUUGAUUUUCUUUUAUAAUAAGAUCAUCCAUCUAGUCGAUCAAGGGAAACCAGCUAAUGGGAUCUUUUUGGAUUUCAGUAAAUCUUGCAACACAGUUUCCCAUAGGAUCCUAUUGGACAAAAUGUCCAGCAUACAACUAGACAAAAACAUCAUACGAUGGGUGAACAAUUGGCUGACGGCAGGGCUCAAAGGGUUGUGGUAAAUGGGGCCAUAUCAGGCUGGUGGCCAGUCACCAGUGGGGCCCCUCAGGGCACCAUUUUAGGGCCAGUUCACCUCAGUGUUUUUGUAAAUGACUUGGAGGUAGGACUAGAAUGUGUUUUGAGUAAAUUUUUUGAUAAUACUAAACUGGGAGGAGCUGUUGACUCUGUUGAGGGUGGAAAGGACUUGCAGAGAGAUCUGGACAGAUUGGAGANNNNNNNNNNNNNNNNNNNNNNNNNNNNNNNNNNNNNNNNNNNN